UGCCCAAUGCAGGAAUCGAACCCGGGACGUAGUGAUCGAAAACCAACCAUCCUUCCACCGACCGUCUGGGUCAAACACUGGUC
Molecule: non-coding RNA, 83 nt
Organism: Cordylochernes scorpioides
Lineage: Eukaryota; Metazoa; Arthropoda; Arachnida; Pseudoscorpiones; Chernetidae
Source: the annotation of a GenBank genome assembly